GGCGCGCGGGUGGGGGUGCGGGCAGUGAGGCGGAGUACGGGGCCGUUAGCCUGACCCGGGACACGUGUGUUGCCAUCGGCUCUGACCUCGUGACGCACCAGAACCGCUGCGCAGAUGUGCAGGGGUAUGAGUGGGCGCAGUUGGGCCACGACACGCUUGGUGGCCGCCUCCUCGCCUACCUCCGUGACCAGGGCGACCCUCGCAUGCCGCCCCCGGAUGCGUCCCUUCUGCGGGGUACGUGGCGGAGGCUGUGGGACAGCCACGCCAGUCGGGGGGCAAAGGUGCUGG
This 288-nucleotide long non-coding RNA is filed under the name Chlamydomonas reinhardtii. Its description in RNAcentral is "long non-coding RNA (CREI_LNC000616)". Lineage: Eukaryota; Viridiplantae; Chlorophyta; Chlorophyceae; Chlamydomonadales; Chlamydomonadaceae. The record is from RNAcentral.